GAGGACUGAAAGGAGUGGUUGCAUCAGGUCUCCCCCACCCUUCUGCCUCCUGCGGUUGCGGCUUUAUUGUGGCCUCUGCUCCCCUGACACCUGCAUUUCACUUAGCGGGAGAGGCGGUGGCCAACUCAGCACAGGCUGCGGACUCAGCGUGGUGACAGAUCCCUCAAGCUAGAAGACUUCUGUUAGGAGAAGCGUUAUCCUGUCAGUUGAUUACCCUGAGUUAUUAUUAUUGCUGUUUGACAGAUGAAAAACUGACAUGGAGAAAAGUUAGACAAUUCCUCCAAAUCACAAAGAUAGUAAGUUGAAAACUUGUGAAAAGAACUCUGCUAUGUCAUAUUUCAAAGUCUAUGACCUCCCCUAUAUGGUACCUUCACUGAUGCUAUUGAAUUUAAAGCAAAUAAAGGAAAUGAAGCACAGCCCAAGUGUUGAUUGGUGGGAAGAAUAAAACAGUCAGAGUAAAUCUCACAUUGAAUGAACCUCCAGUGUUGUGUUGUUAGUUAGAAUUAAAGUCAUUCUCUAGAGUGUAACUUAAGACAGUAUGUCAUUUAAGGGUCAAGAAAUAGUCUGUUUACUCAGCAUUUAUCAGUCCUUUCUUUCCAAACUUUAAGCUAGCUAUAGAAAAAUUCCAGAGAGCCUGGGGAAAGAAACAAAAGGAAAAUUAGGGAAAAGACUUACAAGGUAUGAAGUAUUAGAGAACAUUUUAAAAGGAUAAUCUAUACGCUAUGUCAUUGAUGGCUGCAGCCAUUCUCUAUGCCCAUAAACUAAAUGGGCCUAACUCUUAACAGUGGCUAUUAGGUUAGUUAGAAGAGGCAUGUUUCUGAAAAUUCCAUAGUGAACUUCAUAGCCAGAGGAAAAUAUCUUAUACUUCUUUCUAUUCAAUCAUCCUUGACUCCGAAAGUGCCUCUUAUUUUCUUUUGGUGGAACAGUGGAAAAAAAAUAUCACACUGGAAGGCCAAUUGACUGAAAUCAAGUCCCUUUUCCUAACUGUGUGAACUGGGUCCUUCACAUCACUAUCCUUCAACAACAAGAAAAACAAAAAACAUCCUAUAAAUGUAUAAAGAAGAAAAUGAAAGUUCUUUCUUUGCUACCCCUAGUUCUCUUCCCCUUCCUAGAGGCUAAACUAUUUUGUGUGCAUGUGUGUGUGUGUGUAGAAUGUACACAUAUAUGUAGGGGAUUGGUUCUAGGACUCUGUCCCCUGUGAAUACCAAAAUUCAGGGACGCCUAAGUUCCUUAUAUAAAAUGAUGCUUAUAACCUACGCACAUCCUCCUGUAUACUUUAAAUAAUCUUGAUUACUUAUAAUAUCUAAAACAGUGUAAAUGCUAUGUAAAUAGUUGUUAUACUGUAUUGUUUAGGAAAUAAUGACAAGAAAAAAGUCUGCACAUGGUCAGAACAGAUUCAACCAUUCUUUUUUUAUAUAUUUUUUUCUGAAUAAUUACAAUCCAUGGUUUGUUGAAUCCACAGAUGCAGAACUGGUGGAUAUGGAGGGCUGACUGUAUACAUGUAUCUUCCCCAUAUAAAUAGAACAAUAUUUUAUAUACUGUUCUUCAAAUGGCAUUUUCCCUUUGAAGCUCUUUUCAAAUAUGUAAAAAUCUAUUUUUAAAAACUGCUGCACAGUAGCUCAUAGAAUGAAUCUACCAUAUUUCCUUUACUCUUUCCCCUCUUGGUGGUCCUUUAGGUGGUGUUUGGUUUUUUUCUAUUAUAAAUAGUGUGCAAUGACCAUGCUUGUAAGUGCUUCUAUACUCAUAUAUGUUUCUCUGAGCACAGAUGCCUAGAUCUAGAAGCCAAACAGAUGGGUUGAAGGUGAUACCUAAUUUUAACAUUUGAUGACUCCUGCCAAAUUACCCUCUGAAAAGAAUUUAACAAUUUAUAUUCCUUCCACAUCAUUGCCUCUUUCCCCACAUCAUAAUGUAAGUCUUCUUAUUUUUUACUCACCAAAGGGAGAGAAAUAUUUACUGUUUAAAACUGAGCACCUUUUAAACUGCUUUUCUUUCUUUAUUGGCUUAACUCUUCAAGAUGUGUCUUUUUUCUGAUUGGACUAUUGUUUUUAUCUUUACUGGCUUUUAGAAGCUCUUUAUAUAAUCUGGAUAAUAAGCUUUCGUCAUCAAUAUAUGUUGCAGAUAUUUCCUCUCAGUGUGUCAUCAGAUUUUGUAUUUAUGUCUAUUUAUUAUGUCUGUGACCAUACAAAUUAUUAAAUUUCUUAUAAGGUUAGGCUAAGCUUCUUUCUUUAUGAGUUAAUGGGGGUUGUCUGUCUUAGAAAGGAUCUCUCAUUCCAAACCUUAAAACUAUUCUCCUAAUAAUUUUAGAUUUGUUCAACUGAGAGAGUGCUUAACUCAGGAGAUCAAUAAAGGUUCAUAGAGGAAGAAGUAUUUGAAAUUGUCCUGGAAGAACAAUAUUUUUCAACAGGCAGAGAUGGAGAAAGGACAAUCUACAUGAACAGAACAGCAUGAGCAAAAAGAACUGGUAGAAAUAUAUUGAGCUUAUUCUUGAAAAUAGCUAGCAGUUUACUCCUCCUUUCUUUUGUAUACUAACAGCAGCACACUGAACAAACUGUUCUGUCAUCUUGUUUUUAUCACUUACCAUAUCUUUGAAAUAUUUCCAUAACCAUCAUAAGGAGUAUCCCUAUUGCUUUUUGAGCAAUGCAUAGAAUUCCAUUUUGUGUGAAUAUCAUAAUUUAUCACUCUUCUAUUUUUAUCACUCCUCUGUUGAUGAUGACUUCCAGUCUUUUGAUAAUAUAAACAGUGCUGUAGUAAAUAAAGUUCUGUAUAUGUCUUUUCCCACAGGUUAGAGACUAUCCAUAGGAUAAAUUUCUAGCAAAUUGCUGAGUCCAGGAUAUGCAUGUUUGCAAUUUUGGAAGAUCUUAAAAACUUGCCUCCUAUAGGUGUUGUACCAGUAUAUACUUCUGCCAGUAAUAGAUGGGUGGGCUGCUGAUGCCUCAAAAUGGCCACAGAUAAUUUUAAGCUUGAGCAAAGAACCAGGCCUCCCAACACAAUGGAAAGAAAGGAGGCACCGUGUGAAGGGAAGAUGGCAUACGUGGCACAGACCUCCACCUCUGCUCACCACCACAGAAGGCCACUCCUGCAUGGGCAGGUGACGGCAGCGUCAGGAAGGGAAAUCAGAUUUACUUAGGUUGUUAGUCAUUAUUAAUUGCAAUAGUCUUGUGCCUUCAUUUAAAAAAAGACGACCAAAAAAUAAAAACAAAAACAUGAACACUAAUUUUGCAAAAUAUUUAAGUGAAAACUACCGGCAUAGGUGUCAUUUUGCAAAAGAAUUUGGCACUUGGGUACCUUACAGGAUGUGUCCCUAGCACAGGGAAACUGUAUUCAAGUUUUUAAAAAGGUUUUGCACACAGUGUGAUUGGAAGACAUUUGUCUACAGUUUUGAAUAUAUGUUAUAUAUAUUAUAUAUAGAUAGAUGAUGUUUUUAUUAUUUAUGCAAGCACUGCUUACAAACCCUUAUUGCAAAUAUUUAAAAAUAACAUGUAGUUUACCUUCUCUAAAUUUGUAUUGAGUGAGCGAGGCAGAAAAAUGUCCCAUGUUCCAGUAA
This 3544-nucleotide long non-coding RNA is filed under the name Homo sapiens (human). Its description in RNAcentral is "HSALNT0327229". Lineage: Eukaryota; Metazoa; Chordata; Mammalia; Primates; Hominidae. The record is from RNAcentral.